Molecule: long non-coding RNA, 2252 nt
Filed under: Amborella trichopoda
Lineage: Eukaryota; Viridiplantae; Streptophyta; Magnoliopsida; Amborellales; Amborellaceae
Description: long non-coding RNA (ATRI_LNC002897)
Source: RNAcentral
ACACUCACACUCACUCUCACACUCACACUCACACUAAUGUAUAGGAAUGGGUUUAUAUAUACACUAAUGUAUAAGGCCAUGUAUAUACUUAUUAUCAGUGAUAUAUACAGUUAUCAGCUCUAUAUGUUUAUGUAUUGAUGUAUAUAAGCAUAGAAUACAUUAGUUAUCGGCUAUAUAUACAAUUACUAGUGUGUGAAAAAUACAUUGAUGUGUGUGUGAUGUUUGUGUAUGUGUAAAGUACAUAACUGUAUAUAUACAGUGUAUUAAUAUUUACUUUUAUGAAAAUACUGUUAAUGGCACAAAUUAAAGCUCAAAGCAUAAUUUUUUACUGAUAAAUAAGAAGCAGAGAGUGUGACUACAGGACCAAGUAAUCAAUAUUUUAUUGUUGAUUGUGUAAACUGUAAACUUACAGGAGCAAGCAAUUGUACAUAUAGGAUUAGUUUCCCAAACUUAAUCCUUCAGCUCUGUUUCCUCAAGAAAAUGAAAAGCCCUCUUCAAACUAUCCCAAAUCAGAGAGAAAAACCCUUUUCAAACUAUCCCAAAUCAGCUUUUCAUCUUCCUAAAUCAGCAUCCGAUCUUCCUUUUCUCUCUUUAAAAAUCAGUUAAGGCCUCUUCCAUUAGGGUUCUUUCUUUUCUCUCUCUAAAAAUCACUUAGGGCGACCCCUUUUAUUAGGGUUUGUGAAAACUAUUUUCUUCUUCUUUCUUCUUGCUAUAAACUCUAAUGGCUAUGAGCCUAGCCAUAUUUUCUUCUCUUCCUUUCCUUCGUCGUUCUUCUUCUUCUCUUUACACAGUAAACAUAGAUGUAAAUCCCAAAUUUAUAUGAACUUCUUCCAACUAAAGAAAUUUAUAAAACUUUAACCAUAGUUAUGGAGUGACCAUAGACACCAUACCAUAAUUAAAUAACUGUCGUGACAAAACAAAAAUCGUGUGUUUAUUUUUUGGUACCUGCUAAGUAGGAGUUAUGUUUAAGUAUUUAAUAAAUUAAUUUAUAGUAUAUUUAUUUGUUUUUGUAUGUAAUAAGUGUGAUGUUUCUUAAAGUAUUUAAUUGGUAGAUUUAUAUGGUACUUUUUUUGGUAUAUAUUAAUUAAUUAUGUAUUUAAUAUUGGAUGAGAGUCACAAGACAUCUAAAUUAAUUGAUAUAAUUAUAUUAGUUUAGUAAAGUUUUUAUAGAUGAAUUAGUAAUUGAUGGCUUUGACAAAAUUUUUAUUUUUUAGAAUUUCAAAAUUUCUAAUAUGAUAAAUUUAUCCGAUUUUUUUACUCUGAUUUUUUUAGCCUAAUCCGAUAUAUUAGCGAUAUCUUUAUAUGAAGUAUUUUUACCAAUCCGUAUUUUUUAUCCAAUUUUUUCAUCUGAUUUUCAAAAUAAAAACGAUUAUUUUCGAUAUGUUUAUGCGUGUAUGUAUAAAUUUGCUAUCAGUCAUGUACACACUGAUAUGCGCACACACAUGCACCCUUACGUAUUGACAGUGCAUAUAUACAUUUCUAUAUACACUGAUAUAAAUGACCUUAUAGACACUUAUUAUCAGCUUAUACAGUUAUUAGUGUAUAUGUACACUGAAAUAUAUAUACGCACACUCAUAUGCAUAUCUAUAAAAGGUUGAUAUAUACACUAAUGUAUAAGACCCAUGUAUGUACUUAUUAUCAGUGAUAUAUACAGUAUUGAGCUCAAUUUGUCUACGUAUUGAUUUAUAACAAUAUAUACCAUUAUGUUCAAUGUACAUAUAUUUAUAUUGAUGCAUAUAACCAAACAAAACAUUAGCUAUUUGCUUUAUAUACAGUUAUUAGUUUGUAAAAAAUACAUUGAUAUGUAUGUGUGAUGUCUGUAUAUAUACGAUGUGAAUAUACUGAUAUGUGUGUAUGUGUAUGUACAAAGUGCAUAACUGUAUAUAUACAAUGCAUCAAUAUAUACAUUUUUGUAUACAUUGACAUAUAUGACGAUAUAUACAUUACUUUUCAGUUUAUACUAUUAUUAACGUAUAUGUAUACUGAUUUAUAUGCUACACACACACUCACACUCACACUCUCCCUUACACUUAUACUCACACACUCACUCACAUACACACGCACACACUCUCACACACACUCACUCACAUACACACACACACACACACUCACACUCACACUGACACUGACACUCACUCACACUCACUCGCACUCACACUCACACUGACACUCACACUCACACUCACACUCACACUCACACUCACACUCACACUCACACUCACACUCACACUCACACUCACACUCACACUCAC